Heterocephalus glaber (naked mole-rat) is the source of this 5309-nucleotide long non-coding RNA. The record is from Ensembl. NCBI's taxonomy places the organism in Eukaryota, Metazoa, Chordata, Mammalia, Rodentia, Bathyergidae.
GUUUCAGAUUCCAGCACUCUUCUGCCAGCUGAUAAAACUGUUCUCUUUACCAUAGAAAUCAUGUCUGCGUUCCACUGCCUGGCAAUUUCUACCCCAUUUUGCUUCCCUGCCCGCGCCUGUGGUCUAAGACUUGGAGUCCCAGGAAAAGAGGAUGAAGACGGAGUUCACUUCAGUCUGAAAUUUGUUUCCUGGAGGCAGUAGAGCAUUCCUCUGAUUUCUUGUUUCACUGAUUUAAUGGAUGAUCCCUUCCAGCCCAAUUCAAGUUUCCAAAUACAGACUCCAUUGGUCUAAUAUGAGGUUUACUCAUUGAUCAGUACAGUGAAGGUUGACAUGAACAUCCACUUUGCAUCAAAGGAUAUCCACGAAUUGGUGUGCUGAUGGCAAACAGAAGUUUCCAAGCAAGAUGGAACCUGGGAGGAACAAUACUCCCCCAGUGCUCAUGAUGUGUCUCCAGAAAAAAUUGUUUAACCAUUCUUUAAAAGAAAAUUCUUCCCCCUACAGUAUCUUCCAGACUCUAAACUACAGUAUAAGUUCACAGGUUCACUCAGAUCACUUCCAUGUCUGAGUUCUUGGUCAUCUUCCCACACUUUGGCUCCACAGAUAAAAAAUAAAUAAUAAUAAAGGAAUAACUUUUUUGUUUUUGCCUCAGUAAAUCAUUUUAGUGUUGAAACACCCUGGUGGAUUAAUUAGGCUUAUUCUUACAUUUCCUACCCCCAAGCACUUGUGCAGUGUUCCUGUUGGCACUGGCCUCAUUGGAAAGAGGAACACUUGCACUGCAGGCCUGGAUGUUGCUCUUGAAGCCUAUGAUUCUGUGGUAGCAUAAAUCUAGAAAAAGCUUAGUUUUUUUUUCAAUUGAUGGGGCAUAAGAGGAAACACAGAACCAUCUCUCCCUUACAUUUUAUGCCAGCUUUCAUUUAUUCUGGGCCAUACCUCUUUCCAGAGCAAUGUUUCUUGCUUAGUAUGAGAUUUGGUACCAUUAUAAAGAGACAUAGUACCUCUUGUAGGAGUUUAGAGAGUUUUAUCCAUGGAAUCAGAUGUGUCUCAAGAUGAUUAACUGAAUCCUGUGAAUAUGCUGCCUCUAGCUCACUGCAAACAACUGCUAUUUUUUAUCCUUGGUCAUUUCUCAUAACAGGGAGGAUUUUCAGUGUACAUUAUCUUAUCCUGGAAUUAAUUGUUUCAGUUUUCAUUGGUUGUUUUGGAUUGUAAUGAGAACAGUAGCAGCAAGAAAUCUGAAAGAAAGUGCUUUUGUUUGUUAAACUUCAAGAUCAAUGCAAAGUAGAUAUGCACAAACAUGUGCAAAGUUAUAUAAAAGAACAGAUCAAUUUCUCUGCAACAACAUUUGACUUAAACUAACUGAAGGCAUUAGCAUAUCCACAGAAAAAUAUUAGUCAUAAACGCAGAUAAAGGAAAGUAUAAAAUGAUUUUAAAACAACACAUUCAAAUUUAUUUUCGAGAAAAGGGAAAGAACUUCAUUCCACUGGACUUCAAUGCCAGUGACAGGGCCAAUCCUAUUGUGAAUGAAUAUCCAGCAAUUUAAACUUGAUACUACCAACCAUUCUAUCUAUAAAAAUACCUUCAAUCUGAAUCCAUGUUUUUUAAAUAUGCUGAUUAUUAUUUCGCUCUCAAAUUAGUUCUGCUCUUAGAAAACACACUAAUUACAGACAUUUCUAUACUAUUUAUAAUGGUAGUUACUUUAAAGUGAGCAAUGUCCCAGGCUUAAAUUGUUUAUUAUAAAGGAAUAACUUAAUUUCUGGUUCAAAACAUUAGUGAUUAUCAUGCAACUAUGUUGGAAAGAAGGAUAGCUUUUGGGCAUGCCAAUUAGAGUGACAAUUUUCAGUAGGAGAGGCAGAUUCAAGACUGUCGAGUCCAGCUCUUCCUUGUCAGUCUUUCCUGUGACAUAAAAAAAUCCAUAUAUAACUAUUUAAUUCUAAUUGUGGCAAGAAGUUAGUAGUUGAAGUAAAUUACUAUUGUUUAAACAGUAACUUUCCAACCUCAAAUACUAUCCACAAUGCAAUAACGUACACUUAGAAUACAGGGAUGGAGUCAAAAAAACCAAAUGAAUCCUGGGUUUACUACUUAGCUGUGAAAUCAUCGUAAUUUUUAAAGGCAUCAACUUUCUCUGCCUCAUAUUAUUAAAACCCUCAUAUAGGAAAUUAAGUGAGAUGAUUCACAUAAAGUGCUUAGCACUAUUCCCAGAUUAAGAAUGUCAAUACAGUGAAACAUCCUCUGGCUCCAGUUAAAAUAGCUAUUAUCAAAAAGGACAAAAAUAAGAAAUGUUAGCAAGGAUGCAGAGAAAGGAGAGAUAACUCUAAUACACUGUUGGUAGGAAUGUAAAUGAAUAUACCAGUUAUAGAAAACAAUAUGGGGAGUCCUCAGAAACCAGGUAUAGACUUGCCAUAUAAUCCAGCAGUCCCAUUACUGGAUAUACAGCCAAAGGAGCUAAAAUCAAUAUAUUGAAGAAAUAUUGGCACUUACAUGUUCAUUACAGCAUUCUUCAUAACUGCCAAGAUGUGGAAUCAACCUAACUGUCCACCAAUGGAUGAAUGAAUAAAUAAAAUGUCAUAUACAUACAUAUGCAGAAUGGAAUAGUAUUUAUUCAGCCACAAAAAAAUAAUAAAAUUCUUACAUUUGUAGCAACAUGGUUGCUAUGCUAAGUGAUAUAAGUCAAGCACAGAAAGCCAAUUCUACAUGUAUUCACUUACAAAUUGAAGCUAAAAAGUCAAUGUCAUAGAAAUAGAGAGUAGAAUUUUACUUACCAGAGCCUCAGGAGGGUAGGUGGAGGGGGGAUAGAGAGGUUACGGUUAGCAGAUAUGGGAGAGCAGUUGGAUAGGAGGAACAACUUCUAAUGUUCUAUAGCAUAGUAGGAAACUUGUGAUUGAAAACAGUUAAUUGCAUGUUUCAAAAUAGCUCCCAGAGAGGGUUUUUAAUAUUUGUAAAACAAAGAAAUGAUAAAUUUUAAGGUUAUAGAUAUGUCAGUUACCCUAUUACACAUUGUAUGCAUAUUGAAAUGUCACAUUUUACACCAUAUAUCUGUGUACAACUUUGUGCCAAUUAAAAAUAAAAUACAUUUUUAAAGAAAUUAGUAGAAAAUAAUGCUUUAAGUAUUUAUCACUGAGUGGUAAAAUUAUAAAGAUGAAAUAAUAAAUAUAAAUAUAAGGAUAUUAUAAUGAUAAUAAAGAUAAUAUUAUAAAGAUAAUAAAAAUUCAGGAUGGGAAGUUGAAGCAUGACUUUCAUAGAUACCAGUUGAACAUUUGAGCUCAUACAAUUUCUAGAGCUUAUUCUUACUCGAAUAUUUACUUUCCAUACAGUUAUCACCUUUGCUUUUAUCUGAAGUCACAGAUAUUCUUUCUGUCCCAUAUAAAUAUUUAUUAUUCAUAAUAUUAGAGGAAUAAAUUAAUGGAUGAGUGAUCUAGCCUCUCAUUAAUCUUAGUGGCUCAAUGCUGUCGUACAUUGGAUGUGACAUGGGAAUGAGUCUCUGCUCCAUUCAUUACAGUUCAGACAUUCAGGUACCUAGGAGUGACAGUGCCAUCUUUAGGGCCCUGGACUAUCCCAGUCCAUAUUCUGGAUUGGGUAGGGAAGGAAAAAAGUUUAUUAAGGAUCUUGAAGUAUUAUCCCUUACUUCCAUCAGCCUGGAGUCGAACACAUUGCCCAUAUAAUUGCAGGGAAAGUUUGGAAUGUUAUUUAGCUGUGUAUUUAGGAGCAAGUGGAAUGGAUUUGUUGAACAUUUAGCAGUAUGUCUUGGCAACCAACCCAAAAUAGCCACUGAUAAAAUUAAGUCUUGUGAUUCUUCUCUAAAUUUUCAUCAAUUGGUUAAAGAUUGUAAGAAACACUUGGCUACAAAAUUAAGUUUCAGAUAAUUUUAUAGAGCAAUAUAUUUUAUGUUAGAAAGUCAUUGUCAACAGUGGCAUCAAGGGAGGCUUUCUAGUGUCAGCCGAUAAGUUUUUGUUCCUCUGAAAUUCUCUUGGUAACUUUUGUAGAGCAUUUAUCCCACUUUAUUUCUACUUAAAGCUCAUAUAUGUAAAAGAGAUUAUAUCCUCAAAUGAGCAUUUCCCUUGCUUUUAUCAUCAUGUGUCAUUAUCCCUACAUUCUUUUAUUAUAGUUGUUAUUGAGAGCAUACUUGCUGAUUUAGCAUUGAGAUUAACUGUAAAAUAAGUAAAUAGCAAAUUGUUUCUUGGAAGUAUAAAAGUCAAUGCUUUUAAGAGAUUUUUUUCAUUGUUAUCUGCUAUUUCUAAGUGACUACAAUACUCAGAAAGAAGUGGAUGACAACCUUGGAUUGAAGAAUUUUGUUUCUACAAAGAAUUGCUGUAACAGUAAACUUCAUGUGCAGCGUUAGCUUUGCUAUGAUAUGCCAAUCAAUGUACAUCAUUUUUAGAAGUUCCACUUCACCGAAGAAAGUUGCUAUAUUAAAAUAAUAUUCUGCACAUGGAGAUCCAGGUUUUCCUGAAUAAAAGACCUCUGAUGUUUUCAUCAUGGUGGUUACUAAUGAUGGUAAAGGAAACUGAUUUAAAUUUCCUGCUUAUUUUACAUUUUACCUAACAAAUUGCAGAUGAUAAGAGAGUAUUCCACAAAAUACAUUUUGGCAAUUCCAAUAAUCUGAUGGAAACUGUACAUUAAUGAUUUCUUUUUUACUAAAAUAGUUUAAAUUAUAUUAAUACUAUUUUAUAAGGAAUAAAUUUUUCAAUUAUUUUCUCAUAUUUAAAAUGGUCUUAUAUCUUGAUAUUUUUACUAGAGAUCAAACUAUCCUUUAUCCACGAUUAACCAAAAGAGAUAUUUGUGAUAUGUAUUAAAGUAUUUUUUUUUUUGGUGGCACUGGAGAUUAAACCAAGGGCUGUCACAGUGAGUAAUGUCACUAGCUCUUUUUACAUAUUUUAUUUUGAGACAAUCUCACUAAGUUGCUAGGUUGACCAGCCUGGGUUUGAACUUGUGUCCCAGACUGCUGACAUUACAGGCAUUUGUUAACAUGCCUGGCUUACUAAAAUCCAUUCUAAAAUGAUAAUUUUAGUCAUUAAGUAAAGACAUUCUUUAGAUGAUUAUAUAUUCAUGUGUGUACUUGUUUUUAGUAGUUAAAGCAUUAAUUAAUACUUCUUAUAUGUAUUAUUGUCUUCUAACCACUUUUUGGUGUACUUUAUAAUGUAUUAUAAAAUUAACUUGCUGCAAAUUAAAAAUCAUUAGUGUUCAAAAUAACAUCAUAAUUUUAGUUUUUAUGUUAGCCUACCUGCUGCUUUUAUUAAAUAAAUAAAUGUCAAAAAUACCCACUUACAUAAUUUCUAUUACUGUAAAUGUAUAUUAGUUACUUGAAUAAAUCUGUG